GAUGAACGCUGGCGGCAUGCCUAACACACGCAAGUCGAUCGGUAAGGCUCUUCGGAGUACACGAGAGGCGGACGGCUGAGUAACGCGUAGGAACACACCCUGCAGUGAGGGAUAAGACACCGAAAGGUGUUCUAAUACCGCAUACGGUCUUCGGAUUAAAGCAUUUAUGCGCUGAAGGAGUGGCCUGCGUCAUAUUAGAUAGUUGGUGAGGUAAUGGCUCACCAAGUCGAUGAUGUGUAGCUGGUCUGAGAGGAUGAUCAGCCAGACUGGAACUGAGACACGGUCCAGACUCCUACGGGAAGCAGCAGUGAGGAAUAUUUCACAAUGAGCGAAAGCUUGAUGGAGCAAUGCCGCGUGCAGGAUGAAGGCCCUCGGGUUGUAAACUGCUUUUAUAAGAGAAGAUUAUGACGGUAACUUAUGAAUAAGGGACGGCUAACUACGUG
This 443-nucleotide ribosomal RNA is filed under the name uncultured bacterium. RNAcentral describes it as "partial 16S ribosomal RNA". It matches the Rfam family "Bacterial small subunit ribosomal RNA", at positions 28 to 507 of the family's 1533-position model. The record is from RNAcentral.